AAAAAAAAAAAGCAAGCGAUCUUGCCGCACAGGCGAGGGGAAGGGGAUCGGCGCUGGAGGGUGAGGGGAACAGCCGGGUCGGUCAGGCUGCCGGCGGGCAGCCGCAGCGGCGAAGGGCCCACCGCCCUCCCAGCGUGCUCUGCGCGCGGGGGUGGCGCCGUGCCCGGCCUGCCGGCUCGUUUCGGCGGGCGCGGAGAGGGGGAAGCGCCCCUCAAGCACCCCGAACCGCAGCCUCGGUUCGUUCUCCUUAGCUUUCAGGGGCUCGGAGUAGGCAUCCCUAACGCCGUCGAUGCAUUAGUAUCGAUUUGAAGAGCACAAGUUUAGCGGUGCGUGUUACUAGCACCCUCCACCCGCCCGUGCCGCUGGAGGGAUGUGACGAUUUCACAGAUGACAGAAACCCUCCGGCAGGAACUGCCAGGGCUUUCUGUCCAGGAGCUGGAUGCUGGGAUACAGAGCAUGUGGCUACAGAAAUGUCUCAGCAGUUGGGAAUGGAGGUUAAAGGGCUUUUUUUGCAUUUCUUCCAAAUACGUUUAGCUGGAAAAGCCACACGAGCAGAAAGGCAACAGCAGUGGUGUAACAAAGCCUCUGGGCGCCCUAAGAGAUUCCUUCUGGAGCUAUAGUUGAUAUGCUAGUCCUCUAAAUGGAAGCAGAGCUCCCACACACUGUGGAGGGAAGAAGAAUUUUUCUUGCUAGAAGGAGAAGAUAAGAUUUAGUAGAAGCCCUCCCAGGGCCCUGAGGAGAAGCUGCAAGAAGGGGAAGACCUGUGGUCACUCCUUGCUUGUGAGGGCUCCAGCUGAACUCCUUAGAGUCACUGCCCUCUCCUGCUCACCUUGUCUUGCUGCCAGAGCAAAGGUGCAUUUUGGAAACUUCUUCAAAUGGCUGGAAUACCUGUAUCUGUUUGAGCUCCUUCAGAAAACCUGGCUGAUUACCCUCCUGUUUUGUCAUUUGCUGCUCUUCCUUUCACUGAUUUCUUCUAUGUUCUGAUUUAUUAACAUGUCUAUUCAAGACAAAGUCUGCGAUAGCUACACUGCAAAGUUUUCUGCCUAGGAAAUUUCCAACAAGCCUCCAGAUGAGGAACUCCCUCUGAGGAACUGAAGGAGUUAAUGCCUCAAACAUUCAUCAAAGGAACAAACUGUUUGCCUAAGGAAGCACAGAACACCUUGAAGGGUGCACGGCUCCACUUCCUUGAAGUUGUAUUGCUGAGUUAUCAAAUGUGCUGCCCUGAUCUUCUGAGGAAGACUGCUAAACAUUGGCUCUGUUGUAUAAGCCCGAUACUUGGCAUAAAUGAUGCAGGCCUUGCUAAGGACUAUACCCUUGAAGAAGAGCUAAAAGACAAAUAAGAGGGAACAACCAGCACCAGAUGGAGCCAAAGACUGGAUGGUUGCCCAAGGAGCAAGAACUGGGGAAAAGGUAAAGGUGGUAGGGGCAGAUCACAAUCACCAACUCAACUGGAUGAAAGGGUUAAUGCGCCCUGUCCCCCCUCAACACAUGCACAGAAAACCAUGAUCCACCUUUUCCUCGACUCUCAUGCGAAUGAGUUUGUAGAGAACCUGCCUCUCUUUGUCUAAUAGGCAAAUCAGCAGAUAAGACAAACUUAAAAAUUGACAAAGAAUGUUGCUGGGUGUGCACCCACCACCCAGGAUUACCGGACCCUAAGGCAACGCUGAAACCUGGGAUGGUGAUCCAGAUUCUUUGACUCUCUUUCUCUCCUUACAUUUCCUUUCUUUUCUUUCUUACAGAUUUUUCAGUAAGGGGCCACAUCGCUCACUAUUCUUUCCAAGUUUGUUUCUACAGCAAGUAAAACAUUUUAACUGGU
Long non-coding RNA from Tyto alba (common barn owl), 1816 nucleotides. RefSeq lists it as uncharacterized. The record is from RefSeq and is a predicted model, not a curated record. The transcript has 2 exons. NCBI's taxonomy places the organism in Eukaryota, Metazoa, Chordata, Aves, Strigiformes, Tytonidae.